GACGAACGCUGGCGGCGUGCUUAACACGUGCAAGUCGAACGGAAAGGCCUGCUUUCCCUUGUGGAUUGCGGGUACUCGAGUGGCGAACGGGUGAGUAACACGUGAGUGAUCUGCCCCCAACUUGGGUAUAAGCCUGGGAAACUGGGUCUAAUUCCCGAUAGGACUGCAGGGUGGUGCCUGUGGUGGAAAACGAUUUUCUAGUGGUUGGGGAUGAGCUCGCGGCCUAUCAGCUUGUUGGUGGGGUAAUGGCCUACCAAGGCGGCGACGGGUAGCCGGCCUGAGAGGGUGGGCGGCGACAUUGGGACUGAGAUACGGCCCAGACGCCUACGGGAGGCAGCAGUGGGGAAUAGUGCACAAUGGGCGGAAGCCUGAUGCAGCGACGCCGCGUGGGGGAUGACGGCCUUCGGGUUGUAAACUCCUUUCGACCGCGAGGAAGCCACCUGGUUGGAAGGGUGGUGACGGUAGUGGUAGAAGAAGCACCGGCUAACUACGUG
Molecule: ribosomal RNA, 494 nt
Filed under: uncultured bacterium
Lineage: Bacteria
Description: partial 16S ribosomal RNA
Rfam family: Bacterial small subunit ribosomal RNA
Source: RNAcentral